CCUACGGGUGGCUGCAGUGAGGAAUAUUGGACAAUGGGCGCAAGCCUGAUCCAGCCAUGCCGCGUGCAGGAUGAAGCAUCUAUGGUGUGUAAACUGCUUUUGUACGGGAAGAAACACCUCUUCGUGAAGAGGCUUGACGGUACCGUAAGAAUAAGGACCGGCUAACUCCGUGCCAGCAGCCGCGGUAAUACGGAGGGUCCGAGCGUUAUCCGGAAUCAUUGGGUUUAAAGGGUCCGUAGGCGGCUUUAUAAGUCAGUGGUGAAAUCCGGCAGCUC
Molecule: ribosomal RNA, 275 nt
Filed under: uncultured bacterium
Lineage: Bacteria
Description: partial 16S ribosomal RNA
Rfam family: Bacterial small subunit ribosomal RNA
Source: RNAcentral